Molecule: ribosomal RNA, 253 nt
Filed under: uncultured bacterium
Lineage: Bacteria
Description: partial 16S ribosomal RNA
Rfam family: Bacterial small subunit ribosomal RNA
Source: RNAcentral
UACGGAGGAUGCAAGCGUUAUCCGGAUUUAUUGGGCGUAAAGGGCGCGUAGGCGGGUCGUCAAGUCAGGGGUGAAAUCCCUCGGCUCAACUGAGGAACUGCCUUUGAAACUGUCUGGCUUGAGGCCGGGAGAGGGUAGCGGAAUUCCCAGUGUAGCGGUGAAAUGCGUAGAUAUUGGGAGGAACACCAGUGGCGAAGGCGGCUACCUGGACCGGUUCUGACGCUGAGGCGCGAAAGCGUGGGUAGCAAACAGG